GCACUAGUAGCUCAGACUCAGAGCGCCGGUCUUGUAAACCGGAUGACGGAGGUUAAAUUCCCCCCUAGUGCU
This 72-nucleotide transfer RNA is filed under the name Menticirrhus littoralis (Gulf kingcroaker). RNAcentral's name for it is "tRNA-Thr". It matches the Rfam family "tRNA". Rfam says of the family: Transfer RNA (tRNA) molecules are approximately 80 nucleotides in length. Their secondary structure includes four short double-helical elements and three loops (D, anti-codon, and T loops). The record is from RNAcentral. Lineage: Eukaryota; Metazoa; Chordata; Actinopteri; Sciaenidae.